RNAcentral lists this long non-coding RNA (320 nucleotides) under Elaeis guineensis (African oil palm). RNAcentral's name for it is "long non-coding RNA (EGUI_LNC046144)". The record is from RNAcentral. Lineage: Eukaryota; Viridiplantae; Streptophyta; Magnoliopsida; Arecales; Arecaceae.
AUUGACUGACACAUUCCUGUACAAAUCUAAGGAAAAAUUUAUAAUUUUGACUAUAAAUCAAUAAAUGGGUUAUUCUUCUAUCACAUUGUGUACAUUGUGUUUGUGAUACAUCCUUUGAGUUAGUAAGAAUGUCAAUUCAUAUUUUUAAGAGUUGAAAAUUUAAGGUAUGAAUUUACAUAACUAACUCAUAAACAGCUCCUGACCAUAGGAUCAUCACGAGGAUGGUGAUCGAUCCGGAAGGUUGGUGUACGAUCGCUUCCUUAGGAUAGAUGUGUCUUGAGUCUACGGUGUGGAGACACCAAAGUGAGAGUGCAGAUAUU